UCCCACAUCUGAGUGUCAGCCUCUUGGGCUGGACUCUGCAGAGGGAGCUGGGCGCUUUUUGAGCUCCAGGGCCCAGGGGAAAAUGACCCAUAGCAGGAGAACAUAGAGCUUCGGAGACGAGAAAUCCAGUCUGAGUUUAGGAAUCUCCACAGCUUCCUCGAUGAGGAGGAGAGGGAUUAUCUACAGAGACUGGAGAAAGAAAAAGAGCAGCUGCUGAGGAGACUGCAGGAAGAUCAAGUCAGUAUGGCAAGCAGAGUAUUGAAUUUGAGAAACUCAUGAUGAAAUUAGAGAAGAAAUGUCAAGAAUCAUCCCAGAAUUUUAUGCAGGAUGUGAAAGACACACUGAAAAGCCAUUCAGAUGUGGAGCUGAAAUACCAGAGGACCUCUCUCUGGACCCUCAAACUGCAUGCAAUGUUUCUGAGCGUUACUCUGAUUUGAGGAAACUGUUAAAGACCUACCAAGUCAGAGUGACUCCGGAUCAAGAUACAGCUCAUCGUGAACUAAUUCUGUCCUAGGAUGGGAGAUAAGUGACCCGUGUUGCCGGGGACCAGCCUCCGGCAAAAUGUCGUGUCAGGGGUUCCUGAAAGGAUGAGACUUCCUCGGCGACCUGUCAGGGGUUGAAACUUAAGGGCUGAAGGGAAGGGGAUGAGGUAGUGAGGAGACACUAACACUUGGAUGAGGUGCAAGUAUCUUCUGCCGAGAGACUCAGCAGGUCUUAUUUAUUCAUUUUUAGUAAGCAGAAAAAAAAAAUACAUUGUCAUGUGUAAAGCAGAAACAAUUAGUGUAUUUUAUUCCCAUGGACUACUGGCUCCUACAGGUCCCAGCUAGACGGUAGCCUUCAAGGUUAAUAGAUUAAAAACCAGACCUAACACUAAAACUUAUUAUUUCAGCUAGACAAUUAUUUAAAACAGUGGAUAGCCGCCAGUGCAUCCCUAUCAGCUAAAGCUUCAUCAUCAAAAGACUAUUCUAUUCACAUGGCCUUCAGCCG
Molecule: long non-coding RNA, 987 nt
Organism: Talpa occidentalis (Iberian mole)
Lineage: Eukaryota; Metazoa; Chordata; Mammalia; Eulipotyphla; Talpidae
Exons: 5
Source: RefSeq, a predicted model, not a curated record